AACGAACGCUGGCGGCAGGCCUAACACAUGCAAGUCGAGCGCCCAUUCGGGGGAGCGGCGGACGGGUGAGUAACGCGUGGGAAUAUGCCCUUCUCUACGGAAUAGCCUCGGGAAACUGAGAGUAAUACCGGAUACGCCCUGCUGGUGAAAGAUUUAGCCGGGAAGGAUUAGCCCGCGUUGGAUUAGGUAGUUGGUGGGGUAAUGGCCUACCAAGCCGACGAUCCAUAGCUGGUUUGAGAGAAUGAUCCGCCACACUGGGACUGAGCCACGGCCCCGACUACUGCGCGAUGCAGCAGUGGCGAAUCUUACACUGUCGCGGCAACCCUGAUCUCGCCAUGCCGGGUGAGUACUGACGGCCUUAAGGUUGUAAAGCACUUUCAGCUGGGAAGAUAAUGACGGUACCAGCAGAAGAAGCCCCGGCUAACUCCGUG
Molecule: ribosomal RNA, 431 nt
Filed under: uncultured bacterium
Lineage: Bacteria
Description: partial 16S ribosomal RNA
Rfam family: Bacterial small subunit ribosomal RNA
Source: RNAcentral